AGAGUUUGAUCCUGGCUCAGAUUGAACGCUGGCGGCAGGCCUAACACAUGCAAGUCGAACGGUAACAGGAAGAAGCUUGCUUCUUUGCUGACGAGUGGCGGACGGGUGAGUAAUGUCUGGGAAACUGCCUGAUGGAGGGGGAUAACUACUGGAAACGGUAGCUAAUACCGCAUAACGUCGCAAGACCAAAGAGGGGGACCUUCGGGCCUCUUGCCAUCGGAUGUGCCCAGAUGGGAUUAGCUAGUAGGUGGGGUAACGGCUCACCUAGGCGACGAUCCCUAGCUGGUCUGAGAGGAUGACCAGCCACACUGGAACUGAGACACGGUCCAGACUCCUACGGGAGGCAGCAGUGGGGAAUAUUGCACA
RNAcentral lists this ribosomal RNA (366 nucleotides) under uncultured Escherichia sp. RNAcentral's name for it is "bacterial SSU rRNA". It matches the Rfam family "Bacterial small subunit ribosomal RNA", at positions 8 to 370 of the family's 1533-position model. Lineage: Bacteria; Pseudomonadati; Pseudomonadota; Gammaproteobacteria; Enterobacterales; Enterobacteriaceae. The record is from RNAcentral.